AUUGAACGCUGGCGGCAUGCUUUACACAUGCGAGUCGAACGGCAGCGCGGGCUUCGGCCUGGCGGCGAGUGGCGAACGGGUGAGUAAUGCAUCGGAACGUGCCCAGUAGUGGGGGAUAGCCCGGCGAAAGCCGGAUUAAUACCGCAUACGACCUGAGGGUGAAAGCGGGGGACCGAAAGGCCUCGCGCUAUUGGAGCGGCCGAUGUCGGAUUAGCUAGUUGGUGGGGGAAAGGCUUACCAAGGCGACGAUCCGUAGCUGGUCUGAGAAGACGACCAGCCACACUGGGACUGAGACACGGCCCAGACUCCUACGGGAGGCAGCAGUGGGGAAUUUUGGACAAUGGGGGCAACCCUGAUCCAGCCCUGCCGCGUGCGGGAAGAAGGCCUUCGGGUUGUAAACCGCUUUUGUUCGGGAAGAAAUCCUCUUGGCUAAUACCCCGGGGGGAUGACGGUACCGGAAGAAUAAGCACCGGCUAACUACGUG
RNAcentral lists this ribosomal RNA (484 nucleotides) under uncultured bacterium. Its description in RNAcentral is "partial 16S ribosomal RNA". It matches the Rfam family "Bacterial small subunit ribosomal RNA", at positions 28 to 507 of the family's 1533-position model. The record is from RNAcentral.